UACGUAGGGUGCAAGCGUUGUCCGGAAUUACUGGGCGUAAAGGGCGCGUAGGCGGCCGUUUGCGUCGGAUGUGAAAGCCCGGGGCUCAACCUCGGAACGGCAUUCGAUACGGGACGGCUAGAGACCGGGAGAGGAGAGUGGAAUAGCCAGUGUAGAGGUGAAAUUCGUAGAUAUUGGCUGGAACACCGGUGGCGAAAGCGGCUCUCUGGCCCGGUUCUGACGCUGAGGCGCGAAAGCGUGGGGAGCAAACAGG
This 253-nucleotide ribosomal RNA is filed under the name uncultured bacterium. Its description in RNAcentral is "partial 16S ribosomal RNA". It matches the Rfam family "Bacterial small subunit ribosomal RNA", at positions 524 to 776 of the family's 1533-position model. The record is from RNAcentral.